GGGAAGGUGGUUGAGUGGUUGAAAACAACGGUUUGCUAAAUCGUCACACAAACGAUUCUUGUGUCAUGGGUUCGAAUCCCAUUCUUCCUA
Molecule: transfer RNA, 90 nt
Filed under: Gelidiella fanii
Lineage: Eukaryota; Rhodophyta; Florideophyceae; Gelidiales; Gelidiellaceae
Description: tRNA-Ser
Rfam family: tRNA
About the family: Transfer RNA (tRNA) molecules are approximately 80 nucleotides in length. Their secondary structure includes four short double-helical elements and three loops (D, anti-codon, and T loops).
Source: RNAcentral